AUGGUUGGACGAGAUAUUAACUGUUUCAUUUAAAAUUUUUGUAGAAUUUUAUUUUUUAGUUAAAAAGCUAAAAUUUAUUUAAAAGACGAGAAGACCCUAUAAAUCUUUAUAUUUUUUUUUUAUUUUAAUUAUAAAGAUUAAUUAAAUUUUAAUAGAAAAAAAUAUUUUAUUGGGGUGAUAUUAAAAUUUAAAAAACUUUUAAUUUUUAAAAACAUUAAUUUAUGAAUAAAUGAUCCAUUAGUAAUGAUUAAAAAAUUAAGUUACUUUAGGGAUAACAGCGUAAUUUUUUUGGAGAGUUCAUAUCGAUAAAAAAGAUUGCGACCUCGAUGUUGGAUUAAGAUAUAAUUUUGGGUGUAGCCGUUCAAAUUUUAAGUCUGUUCGACUUUUAAAUUCUUACAUGAUCUGAGUUCAAACCGGUGUAAGCCAGGUUGGUUUCUAUCUUUAAAAAGUUAUGAUAUUUUAGUACGAAAGGACCAAAUAUCAAAAUAAUUAUAUUUUUUAUAAGAAUAUUAUUAAUGU
Molecule: ribosomal RNA, 519 nt
Filed under: Drosophila mauritiana
Lineage: Eukaryota; Metazoa; Arthropoda; Insecta; Diptera; Drosophilidae
Description: partial 16S ribosomal RNA
Rfam family: Bacterial large subunit ribosomal RNA (bases 271-430)
Source: RNAcentral